GAUGAACGCUAGCGGCAGGCCUAACACAUGCAAGUCGAGGGAGAAGCCUGCGUGCGUAAACGAGCCCACGGGUGCGUAACGCGUAUACACGUUGCCAUAUACAUAGUAGUAGGGCAGAGAAAAGUGGAACAUUAGCUAAUGCUGUAUAAGAGCUGCGUCAGUUAGAUAUUAAGGCUUUGGCGUAGAAAGCGGAGGAUGCGGUCUAUUAGCUGGUAGGAGAGGUAACGGCUCACCAUGGCGACGAUAGAUAGGGGGUCUGUGAGGGAUGUACCCCACACUGGUACUGAGAUACGGACCAGACUCCUACGGGAGGCAGCAGUGAGGAAUAUUGGACAAUGGUCGGAAGACUGAUCCAGCCAUGCCGAGUGCAGGACGACGGUCCUAUGGAUUGUAAACUGCUUUUGUAAGGGAAGAAUAAGGAGUACGUGUACUUUGAUGACGGUACCUUACGAAUAAGCAUCGGCUAACUCCGUG
RNAcentral lists this ribosomal RNA (474 nucleotides) under uncultured bacterium. RNAcentral's name for it is "partial 16S ribosomal RNA". It matches the Rfam family "Bacterial small subunit ribosomal RNA", at positions 28 to 507 of the family's 1533-position model. The record is from RNAcentral.